UUAAUACCGGAUAGAUCAAAGAAACUGGAAUGUUCUCUGGUUAGAAACUCCGGUGCCCAAGGAUGGGUCUGCGGCCUAUCAGGUAGUAGUGGGUGUAACGUACCUACUAGCCUACGACGGGUAAGGGUUGUGAGAGCAAGAGCCCUGAGAUGGAUUCUGAGACAUGAAUCCAGGCCCUACGGGGUGCAGCAGGCGCGAAAACUUUACACUGCGGGAAACCGCGAUAAGGGGACCCCGAGUGCCAGCACCUAGUGCUGGCUGUCCAGCUGUCCAAAUAACAGUUGUUAGCAAGGGCCGGGCAAGACCGGUGCCAGCCGCCGCGGUAACACCGGCGGCCCGAGUGGUAGCCGUUAUUAUCGGGUUUAAAGGGUCCGUAGCCGGCCUAUUAAGUCUCUUGGGAAAUCUGGCGACUCAAUCGUCAGGCGUUCA
This 429-nucleotide ribosomal RNA is filed under the name uncultured archaeon. RNAcentral's name for it is "bacterial SSU rRNA". It matches the Rfam family "Archaeal small subunit ribosomal RNA", at positions 146 to 576 of the family's 1478-position model. The record is from RNAcentral.